GACGAACGCUGGCGGCGUGCUUAACACAUGCAAGUCGAACGGAAAGGCCCUGCUUUUGUGGGGUGCUCGAGUGGCGAACGGGUGAGUAACACGUGAGUAACCUGCCCUUGACUUUGGGAUAACUUCAGGAAACUGGGGCUAAUACCGGAUAGGAGCUCCUGCUGCAUGGUGGGGGUUGGAAAGUUUCGGCGGUUGGGGAUGGACUCGCGGCUUAUCAGCUUGUUGGUGGGGUAGUGGCUUACCAAGGCUUUGACGGGUAGCCGGCCUGAGAGGGUGACCGGCCACAUUGGGACUGAGAUACGGCCCAGACUCCUACGGGAGGCAGCAGUGGGGAAUAUUGCACAAUGGGCGGAAGCCUGAUGCAGCAACGCCGCGUGCGGGAUGACGGCCUCGGUUGUAACGACUUCGCCUCGUGACGAAGCGUGAGUGACGGUAA
This 436-nucleotide ribosomal RNA is filed under the name uncultured bacterium. RNAcentral's name for it is "bacterial SSU rRNA". It matches the Rfam family "Bacterial small subunit ribosomal RNA", at positions 28 to 478 of the family's 1533-position model. The record is from RNAcentral.